This 372-nucleotide ribosomal RNA is filed under the name uncultured organism. Its description in RNAcentral is "bacterial SSU rRNA". It matches the Rfam family "Bacterial small subunit ribosomal RNA", at positions 526 to 896 of the family's 1533-position model. The record is from RNAcentral.
CAGAGGGGGCAAGCGUUGUUCGGAAUUACUGGGCGUAAAGGGCGCGUAGGUGGCCCGCUAAGUCGAACGUGAAAUCCCCGAGCUCAACUCGGGAACUGCGUCCGAUACUGGCGGGCUUGAAUCCGGGAGAGGGAUGCGGAAUUCCAGGUGUAGCGGUGAAAUGCGUAGAUAUCUGGAGGAACACCGGUGGCGAGGGCGGCAUCCUGGACCGGCAUUGACGCUGAGGCGCGAAAGCUAGGGGAGCAAACGGGAUUAGAUACCCCGGUAGUCCUAGCCCUAAACGAUGAAUGCUUGGUGUGGCGGGUAUCGAUCCCUGCCGUGCCGAAGCUAACGCAUUAAGCAUUCCGCCUGGGGAGUACGGUCGCAAGGCUG